CUUCCCUUUUCAGAAGAGAUACCUCUUCGCCAUUCUCCCUCUCUUCGCAAUCCUCCCCUACUACGUCAUCUUUGUUUCCCACUCGCUCUUCUCCCUCUCCUUCGUCAACCUCAAUCUCCGCCACCAUCAACCCGAGGAAUCUUAAUUGCACGCCCUUUACUAUUAGAAAAUAGGGCAGAAGCGUAAAAUCACUCACAAAAUAUAUAUGUUGAUGUUUUAAUAUUGUUGUGACACGUGACUUGGUGAGAGAAAGGUAAAAGUACAAGUUCUGGAGAGAAGAUAGAGCUUCGAUGCUCUGCUAGGGUUUCAGCCUCAUCGCUUCCACCGCACACCGCCAAACGCAUACACUAGAAACAAUGGAGAUAAGGAUCAGAGAAGACACACAAGGUAAAAGUACAAGUUCUGCAGAGAGGACAGAGCUUUGAUGCUCUGCUAGGGUUUCAGCCUCACCGCUUCCACCGCACACCACCAAACGCAUACACCAGAAACAAUGGAGAUAAGGAUCAGAGAAGACACACAAGAUUACCGAAUCUAUACCAACUUUGGCAUUAGAGUACCUUUCACACGUAACCUCCAAGUUUGACCGAAUGGUGACAAGAGCGAAAUGAAGGACGAGCGGUGACUAGUGCUACAAGUUGAACAAACGAAGUUAGAAGAAUUGUUAACCUCAACCCCACAAAUCGAAACAAGUUAUUUUUUCUCCAUUUAUUUAAUAUUUUGUUUAUCCUUUUGCUUGGCAUUAUAUUAAGUCCCUUUGUUACAAAGUUCUUGAGCUUAGGUUCACACUAAAUACUAUAAAUGACCACUGAUUUUACAGUCACAUUUUUUUUUGGCUUGCUCCAAGCUUUGUUUGCUAGGAAUCCAUCAAUUACCCAAGCUUGGUACUUUUUCUCUAUUGUUAUUAUUUCCCUUUCUAGUUCUUUAUAUGAUUUAUUGGUCUCAUAUUUUUGUACCUUAUUGAUAACUUGUUUACUUUCAUGCUUCAUGACAUGUAUUUGGAGUUGCUAUCUAGUA
Long non-coding RNA from Vigna radiata var. radiata (mung bean), 1014 nucleotides. RefSeq lists it as uncharacterized. The transcript is spliced from 3 exons. Lineage: Eukaryota; Viridiplantae; Streptophyta; Magnoliopsida; Fabales; Fabaceae. The record is from RefSeq and is a predicted model, not a curated record.